This 253-nucleotide ribosomal RNA is filed under the name uncultured bacterium. Its description in RNAcentral is "partial 16S ribosomal RNA". It matches the Rfam family "Bacterial small subunit ribosomal RNA", at positions 524 to 776 of the family's 1533-position model. The record is from RNAcentral.
UACAGAGGUCCCAAGCGUUGUUCGGAUUCAUUGGGCGUAAAGGGUGCGUAGGUGGCGCUGUAAGUCGGGUGUGAAAUUUCGGAGCUUAACUCCGAAACUGCAUUCGAUACUGCCGUGCUUGAGGACUGGAGAGGAGACUGGAAUUUACGGUGUAGCGGUGAAAUGCGUAGAUAUCGUAAGGAAGACCAGUGGCGAAGGCGGGUCUCUGGACAGUUCCUGACGCUGAGGCACGAAGGUCAGGGGAGCAAACGGG